Drosophila gunungcola (fruit fly) is the source of this 1503-nucleotide long non-coding RNA. RefSeq lists it as uncharacterized. NCBI's taxonomy places the organism in Eukaryota, Metazoa, Arthropoda, Insecta, Diptera, Drosophilidae. The transcript has 4 exons. The record is from RefSeq and is a predicted model, not a curated record.
UGUAUUAUCCCCGCGUGUAGACUACUUUCGCUCCCCACUUGGUCACACUGACAGUCGGCGUUACGCCGCAGCGCUGCCUGCGUCGCUGCCGCCGCGAAAAGCUGCCCUCGAAACGAAAGAAAUUCAACCCGUAAAGUCAAUUGCCAAAAAGCUCGCCUCGCGCGCGGUCGACGGGAGAGUGGAUGAGCGGACGCUUUCUCUUUACUCUGUUACCUUUCUCCAUUACCAUUGACGACGCUGCGUGCGCGUCUCCCGCAAGAAACAACAACAACAGCGAGAAGGAGCCGCAAAUUGCACGGUGCAUAAAUAAAACAAACGAAAAUAUAUUAUGCAGCGAGAAUUUACGCUUACAACAAACGAUAAAAACCCGAAUACGAGUGAUGACAGUCGAAAGAAAUAGUAGUACUACUUAAAUUGCGGCACAAGACGUAAACAAAAUCGUGUGUUAAUUUAAUGGGAAAAGAAGUACAAGAACAAGAACAACAUGGGGACGCCGACGUCGACAGCGACGCCGGCAGAGACGUCGAGACAUUUCGAAUUUCUUUGGAUGCUGAUGGACUAACGGUUCUUUAGUGGUUGUUCCUUCUAUGUACAGUGUGUGUGCGUGUCUGUUGGUGUGUGUAAAUUGGAAAAACAGCAAAAACUGAAUGUGCAACAUAAGCAAAGCAGCGUGAAGUAAAAACCAUAAAAUAUAUAUAAAGAAGCGGGGAAUCGGAGAAAAGCGUUAACCGAAGCCAAGAAAAAUUAAAACCAACCGAAAACCAACAUCAAAAGUUGCCAACUUUUUGUUCGACCGCAGCAGCCAAAGAAGCAGCGGCGUCAGCAGCGACGCCCGCCUGCAGCCAGCGUCGCGCUGGCAACAACAAAUUGCGCUGUCUUUAGUAAAUUCAUAUAUGCAUUCGGCCAUCGAAAAUGGUAAUUUGGAAAUAAAACGCACGUGGCUAUGGUCGGUCGCAAGAUUGGAUCAUCAUUUUCCUGCGUGUAUGCAAGGUGGGUGGCAAUUUUCGGGGGUGGAAAUGGGAAACUGGGAGUCGCAGUGAGGCAGUGAGCCGCCAGUCCAAAACUCAGCCGUAGUCGUUGAUUUUUCCGUCGCCGGUAUGUGUAGCUGUUUCUGCGGCUGUCCAUGUCCAAGCAUUUCAUUUUUCCUAUCCCCCAUAAAACUUGCGUGGCCCGUGCUCUUCGGGGGUUAGUUAUUUUUGGGGACGACAACCGCAGCAGUAACAGCAACAGCAGCAGCAGCCCUCUGAACUGCGAAGGAGGAUUCUCGAUUCUCGACGAAGGAUAGCGAAUAUGUGCAGUUUUCUGGGUCGCUGUCUCUGGAGUUGGCUGUACUGUUCCAAAGCUGGAGGAUGGUACACAGCCCACGGCUGCGAUGACAUCCAGAAAACGGAAAGAAUGAGCCGAUAAAUCUUCGCGGAACCACAAAGACCUGUUUGGCGGAGUUCUGCUUGUAAUAAAUAACUUAAAAUAGAUUUUAUACUAAAUGUAAUUCCCACCUUUAAA